GGGGGCGACAGGCUUCGACAGGAGUUUGUACGGUCUUUGGAUGCACGUCGGGCUUUCUUUGUGUAGCCCGUUAACAAAUACAAAGAAAAACAAUUGCCAACCAAGAAUUGGCUCUCGCAGCCUAGUUAAUAACUAGUCACGAGCGUUUCGCCGUCAGUUGCUCACGCUAAACGGAGUUGAAAUGUCACACAAUUUGAGCUAGUUCGCGUUCUCCGUUUGCGGCGCGAGCGAAAAUUAAGUCAAACUGGUUUGGCGUAAGGUCUUGUCAAUUCACUUACUUACGCCGAACGAGAUUCUAAAAAAAGAGAAUUGACUAAACGUGUAGAUGCCACUGAUGGCGACUUUUGGAUGCGGGUUCGAUUCCCGCCGCCUCCACCA
RNAcentral lists this transfer-messenger RNA (378 nucleotides) under Pyrinomonadaceae bacterium. It matches the Rfam family "transfer-messenger RNA". Rfam says of the family: Bacterial tmRNA, also known as 10Sa RNA or SsrA, is named for its dual tRNA and mRNA-like properties. Its role is to liberate the mRNA from a stalled ribosome. To accomplish this part of the tmRNA is used as a reading frame that ends in a translation stop signal. Lineage: Bacteria; Pseudomonadati; Acidobacteriota; Blastocatellia; Blastocatellales; Pyrinomonadaceae. The record is from RNAcentral.